RNAcentral lists this ribosomal RNA (494 nucleotides) under uncultured bacterium. RNAcentral's name for it is "partial 16S ribosomal RNA". It matches the Rfam family "Bacterial small subunit ribosomal RNA", at positions 28 to 507 of the family's 1533-position model. The record is from RNAcentral.
GACGAACGCUGGCGGCGUGCUUAACACAUGCAAGUCGAACGGAAAGGCCUGCUUUCCCUUGUGGAUUGCGGGUACUCGAGUGGCGAACGGGUGAGUAACACGUGAGUGAUCUGCCCCCAACUUGGUUAUAAGCCUGGGAAACUGGGUCUAAUUCCCGAUAGGACUGCAGGGUGGUGCCUGUGGUGGAAAACGAUUUUCUAGUGGUUGGUGAUGAGCUCGCGUCCUAUCAGCUUGUUGGUGGGGUAAUGGCCUACCAAGGCGGCGACGGGUAGCCGGCCUGGGAGGGUGGACGGCCAAAUUGGGACUGAGAUACGGCCAAGACUCCUACGGGAGGCAGCAGUGGGGAAUAUUGCACAAUGGGCGGAAGCCUGAUGCAGCGACGCCGCGUGGGGGAUGACGGCAUUCGGGUUGUAAACUCCUUUCGACCGAGAGGAAGCCACCUGGUUGGAAGGGUGGUGACGGUAGUGGUAGAAGAAGCACCGGCUAACUACGCG